AUGGCGCAGCAAGAUCAAGACGUCAUCAUGUACUACCGCAAUGGCCUCCUCCUGGCCGCCGCACUGCUAGUCCCUCUCCUCCUCCUCGUGAGGCUCAGGCGGCCGCGCGGGGAGAACCUUCCCCCGGGGCCAUGGCGGCUGCCGGUCAUCGGCAGCCUGCACCACCUGGUCGGCAGGCUGCCGCACCGCUUCAUGCGCGACCUCGCCCGCCGGUACGACGCCCCGCUCAUACUGCUCCGCCUGGGGGAGCUCGACGUCGUCGUGGCCUCCUCCGCCGACGCGGCGAGGGAGGUCCUCAAGACCCAGGACGCGGUCUUCGCCACCCGCAUGCAGACCCCCACCAUCCGCGCGCUCACGGUGGACGGCGCCGGCAUCGCCCUGGCGCCGCACGGAGAGCACUGGCGGCAGGCCCGCAAGCUCGGCGUCACCGAGCUCCUCGGCGCACGGCCGGUCCAGUCCCUCCGCGGGUCCCGCGAGGCCGGCGUUGCCGCCCUCGUCGCCUCCAUCGCCUCGGCGUCGGCGGCGUCAGGGCCUGUGAACGUCAGCUCCCUCCUUUCCACCUACAUCAUCGACGUGGCGGUGCGCGCCCUGGUGGGCGACCGGAUCGGGGGCGACCUCCGCGGCGAAUUCCUGGAGCGCCUCGGCGAGGGCGUCAGGCUGGCCACCGGAUUCGGCCUCGCCGACCUGUUCCCGUCGUCGCGCCUCGUGCGUGCCUUCAGUGGCUCGCUAGGCCGGCUGGAGGCGCUAGGCCGCGAGACGAGCCGGGUCAUGGACCGCAUCAUCGACAAGCACCAGCACGCCGGCGACGAGGAAAAAGACUUCGUCGACGUGAUGCUCAGGAUCCAGAAGAAUGACGGCAGCCUCCGUGCUGGAACCAUCCGUGCCAUGAUCACCGACCUGUUCGGGGCAGCGAGCGACACCUCGGCGACGACGCUCGAGUGGGCGAUGGCCGAGCUCAUGGGGAGCCCGGCGGCGCUUCGGAGGGCGCAGGCGGAGGUGCGAUCCGCCCUGGCCGGGGAGAGCCGCGUCCGAGAGGAGGCCCUGCCGGACCUGCACUACCUGCGUCUCGUGCUCAAGGAGACGCUCCGGCUGCACCCGGCGGCGCCGCUGCUGCUCCCGCGGGAGUGCCCCGAGUCCCGACAUGUCCUCGGCUACACCGUGCCCAAGGGCGCCAUGGUGCUCGUCAACGCGUGGGCCAUCGGCCGGGACGCGGCGACCUGGGGCGCCGACGCCGAGGAGUUCAGGCCGGAGAGGUUCGAAGAGGAGGCGGCGCUGGACUUCAAGGGAACCAACUUCAAGUUCGUGCCGUUCGGCGCCGGCCGGAGGAUGUGCCCUGGGAUCGCCUUUGGCCUUGCGGUCGUGGAGCUCGCACUGGCCAGCUUCCUCUUCCAUUUCGACUGGGAGCUCCCCGCCGGUGGGCUGCACAUGGAGGAGCAGCUCGGGGUCACGGCCAGGAGGAAGGGCGACCUCUGGCUGCAUGCCACAGUUCGGGUGCCUGUGCCUGCACUUGCUCUAUAG
Molecule: ribosomal RNA, 1518 nt
Filed under: Triticum aestivum (bread wheat)
Lineage: Eukaryota; Viridiplantae; Streptophyta; Magnoliopsida; Poales; Poaceae
Description: partial small subunit ribosomal RNA
Source: RNAcentral